AUGCACUGAUCCAGUUUCCGUUCACCCCAUUGGACCUCAUUUGAGUUACUAACUCUCAGGAACCAAUCCUUCCAUCCCUUAGUAGGACUGGGCCAGGAACGAAAAGCAUCUUUCCAUAGAUCUAAAGAGAAAUUCUCUGCUCUAAAAGGGAUUCUGUUUGUCUCUGCGUUUAUAUGAUCGGUGAGAUCCAAGUUUCCUAGUGGACCAAGGCAUUGGAGACGGGGU
Molecule: long non-coding RNA, 225 nt
Filed under: Sorghum bicolor (sorghum)
Lineage: Eukaryota; Viridiplantae; Streptophyta; Magnoliopsida; Poales; Poaceae
Description: long non-coding RNA (SBIC_LNC012285)
Source: RNAcentral